GUGAGAAAGAGAGAGUGUGUGCGCAAUGGCAUGAAGCAUUAACAGCAGCAGCACCAUCCUGACCAAAGCGCUUCUCUCUCACACACACACACACUGAGCCAGUCUGAAGUUUGGCAUCAGCGCGAGCGAGUGACGUGCUGCUGAGAGAGAGAGAGAGAGAGAGCGCACUCCAGGUGAAGCGCCUGUUUUACGCGCGGACGCGCCGCGGCUGUCGGCCAUGGGAGCGGAUUUAUGAGGAGCUUUAUCUCCGGACCUUUGAUGGGAGUUGCUGUGUGUGGUUUUGCUCCUGUGCUGAAGUGAGCCAUGUUUCCUCCCUGUGCCCUCUGCUGCCUGCUGCUCCUGAUCGGCUGGGCGCCUCUCCGAGGGACCAACUCACAGCAAGUGUGCACGGGCACCGAAAACAAACUGAGUACCCUAUCGGAUCUAGAGCAGCAAUACCGGACCCUGCGCAAGUACUAUGAGAACUGUGAGGUGGUGAUGGGCAACCUGGAGAUCACCAGCAUCGACCGUAGCCGGGAUUUGUCAUUUCUCAGGUCCAUCCGUGAGGUGACAGGUUACGUGCUGGUGGCUCUGAAUCAGUUUGACUAUCUCCCCCUUGAGAACCUGCGCAUCAUCCGUGGUACGCGGCUCUACGAAGAUCGCUACGCCCUCGCCAUCUUCCUCAACUACCGCAGAGACGGCCAUUUUGGACUGCGCCAGCUGGGCCUCAAGAACCUCACAGAAAUACUGCAUGGAGGUGUGUAUGUGGACCAGAAUAAGUUGCUUUGCCAUGCCGACACCAUCCAUUGGCAGGAUAUCGUGAAGAACGCUCGUCCUGAUUACCUGGUGGUGCCAUCCAACAGCAGCAACACUUGUCAGAAGUGCCAUCGCGCCUGCAACGGCCGCUGCUGGGGUCCGAAAGAGAGCCAGUGUCAGAGCUUGACGAAGACGGUGUGCGCUGAACAGUGUGAUGGUCGUUGUUUUGGUCCAUACGUCAGUGACUGCUGUCAUAAGGAGUGUGCAGGAGGCUGCUCGGGUCCCAAAGACACCGACUGCUUUGCGUGCACUAACUUCAAUGACAGCGGGGCGUGUGUGACGCAGUGUCCUCAACCCUUCGUUUACAACCCUACCACCUUCCAACUGGAACACAACCCUCAUGCCAAGUACACCUACGGAGCCUUCUGCGUCAAGAAGUGCCCACAUAACUUUGUGGUGGACCACAGCUCAUGUGUCCGGGCAUGUCCCAGCAACAAGAUGGAGGUGGAAGAGAACAAGAUAAAAAUGUGCAUUCCCUGCACUGACAUCUGCCCCAAAGCAUGUGAUGGAAUCGGGACGGCGAGUCUGCAGACGGCUCAGACUGUUGACUCCAGCAACAUCGACAGGUUUAUCAACUGCACUAAGAUCAAUGGCAACCUGGUGUUCCUCAUCACAGGAAUCAAAGGUGAUGUAUACCACAACAUUGAGGCUUUGGAUCCAGAGAAACUCAACGUGUUCCGCACUGUUAGAGAAAUCACUGGUUUCCUGAAUAUUCAGUCAUGGCCAGAAAACAUGACAGACCUAAGUGUCUUCUCGAAUUUGGCAACCAUCGGUGGCCGAUCGCUCUAUAGCGGAAUCUCUCUGUUGGUACUCAAGCAGCAGUGGAUCUCUUCGCUGCAGCUGCAGUCUCUGCAUGAGAUCAGCGCCGGCAAUGUCUAUAUCACCAACAACAGCCAGCUGUGCUACUACAACACCAUCAACUGGACCAGCCUCUUCCGCAUCCCCACACAGAAAGCCCUGAUCCGCAACAACAGGGACCCCAAAGAGUGCAUUAUGGACGACAUGGUGUGCGACCCGUUGUGUUCGGAUGCUGGGUGUUGGGGUCCGGGUCCGGAUCAGUGUCUGUUCUGCCGCUUCUUCAGCAGGGGGCGCAUGUGUGUCAAGUCCUGCAACCUGCACCAUGGGGAAGUGCGAGAGUUUGCGAAUGGCUCCAUGUGUGUGGAGUGUGACGCUCAGUGUGAGAGAGCUGAAGAUGAUGGUCUGACCUGCACUGGGCCGGGUCCUGAUCAUUGUGUGAAGUGUCUUCACUUUAAAGAUGGGCCAAACUGUGUGGAAAAAUGUCCCGAUGGUCUCCAGGGAGCCAAUAGUUUCAUCUUUAAAUAUGCAGAACCCAACAAGGAAUGUCACCCCUGCCACACUAACUGCACCCAGGGAUGCACUGGGCCCAGGCUUCAGGACUGCAUCGGCAUGAUAGACAGGACUCCUCUGAUCGCAGCAGGGGUCAUCGGCGGCUUGUUCGUGGUGGUGAUUGUGGCACUGGGCGUGGCCGUGUCGGUGAGAAGGAAAAGCAUCAAAAAGAAAAGAGCACUCAGGCGCUUCCUGGAGACGGAGCUGGUGGAGCCUCUGACCCCGAGUGGUGCAGCACCCAAUCAGGCCCAGCUCAGGAUACUGAAGGAGACGGAACUGAAGAGGGUGAAGGUUCUUGGUGCAGGAGCCUUUGGCACCGUUUACAAGGGGAUCUGGGUACCUGAGGGUGAGACGGUGAAGAUCCCGGUGGCAAUUAAGAUCCUGAACGAAGCGACGGGACCCAAAGCCAAUGUGGAGUUCAUGGAUGAGGCACUGAUCAUGGCCAGCAUGGAGCAUCCUCACCUGGUGCGUCUUCUCGGGGUGUGUUUGAGUCCCACCAUCCAGUUGGUGACCCAGUUAAUGCCCCACGGCUGCCUGCUGGACUACGUACACGAGCACAAGGACAACAUCGGCUCCCAGCUGCUGCUCAACUGGUGUGUGCAGAUCGCCAAGGGCAUGAUGUAUCUGGAAGAGCGGAGGCUGGUGCACCGAGACCUGGCAGCCAGGAACGUUCUGGUCAAAUCCCCUAACCACAUCAAGAUCACAGACUUCGGAUUGGCGAGGCUUCUGGAUGCUGAUGAAAAGGAAUACAAUGCAGAUGGGGGGAAGAUGCCUAUUAAAUGGAUGGCCUUGGAGUGUAUCCACUACAGGAAGUUCACCCACCAGAGUGAUGUCUGGAGUUAUGGAGUGACUAUUUGGGAGCUGAUGACGUUCGGAGGCAAGCCCUAUGAUGGAAUUCCCACACGUGAGAUUCCUGACUUGCUUGAGAAAGGAGAACGACUCCCUCAGCCGCCCAUCUGCACCAUCGACGUCUACAUGGUCAUGGUGAAAUGCUGGAUGAUUGACGCGGACAGCAGGCCGAAGUUUAAGGAGCUGGCAGCGGAAUUCUGCCGAAUGGCCCGAGAUCCCCAGCGCUACCUCGUCAUUCAGGGUGAUGACCGGAUGAAGCUGCCCAGCCCCAAUGACAGUAAGUUUUUCCAGAGUCUACUGGAUGAGGAAGAGCUGGAGGAUCUGAUGGAUGCUGAUGAGUACCUGGUGCCUCACCCCUUCAACAUCCCUCCUCUUACCUAUACCACUCGCUCUCGCCUCGACUCAAACCGAAAUCAGUUUGCCUAUCAGGAUGGCAGUUUUGGUAUGGAGGCGAUGAUGGCCACUAUACCACGGGUGGUAGCGGUGUCUUCUGUAUCACCAUCCUGCUCCUCUCAAGAGCCUCAGCAGGGUGCAACAGGAGUCACAGAAGACCCACGUUGUAAUGGCACCCUGAGAAAACAAGCAUCUCCCCGGGUCAGGACAGGAGAGGAAAGCAGUGCUCAGCGCUACAGCACAGAGCCCACGCUGUUACUGAGUGAACGAGCAGCCAGAGCAGAAAAAGACCAGGAUGGAUACAUGACUACUAAAAAGGAGAAGAAACCCACAGAUUACCUCAACCCUGUGGAGGAGAACCCAUUUGUGACCCGCCGCAGAAAUGGAGACGUCCAUAAUCUCGACCAGGUCCACCAUUCCAGCUCCAAUGGCCAACCCAAGAUGGAGGAUGAAUAUGUCAAUGAUCCACUCUAUCUCAACACCUUCCAUAACACUGGAGAGAAGAAUCAGGAGGUCCUGCGUAAGAAUGGCAUCCCUGUGGCUCAUGCAGUGGUGGUAUCAGGCAACCCUGGUACUGCCAGUGGCUUAAAUAUUACCCAAAAAAGUCACCCAACACACAGUGCUCCCUCAGGGCAUGGUCACAUCUCGGCACAGCCCAUUUACUCUACUCAGUCCGGUAUACCCACCCUCUCGGGCCACACGCUUCAUCCUUCACUAUCGGGCCUCACCCUUCAUGCAUCACAUACCCUACACCCAGCUCACUCUGGCACUGUUGUAGCAGACAAAAAGCCCAAAAAGACCUUUGACAACCCUGAAUACUGGCAGCACAGUCUUCCACCCAAGACAACACUACAUGGACCAGAGGUCUUGCAGGACUGCAGUACGCGCUUCUUCUACAGGCAGAACGGCCGCAUCCGGCCUGCUGUAGCUGAAAACCAGGAGUACCUAACAGAGUAUGCCCUGAAAACAGGCAACGUGCUCCCACCGCCACCCUACCGGCAGAGGAACACAGUGGUGUAGCACCAAGGAGGCAAAAGAAAGAAAGCGAAUGGAAGGACAGGGAGAAUAGCAUGAAGGAGGCGUUCAUGUUUUCUUCUCACCCUGGAUCUUACACCAGUACCAGUUCUCCUCCCUUCCCCUCCUCUCAACGACUCGUGACUGUAUUUCAUGCUUAUUUAGCAUCCAGAUGGUGUUUCUCUAAACAAGACAGAUGAAAGACAACCAUGUCAGUCAACCCUGCUCCUUGCUCUACCCUUCCACAUCCCAUCAUCACAAAUACUUGCCAUGACGAUGUCAUUGGCAUGUGGACUCCGUAUUCCCUUGACAAGAGAGAUACCUUUCCUCAGCAAUGCCAGAUCCUCUAUUUGUAUCAUACUAGAAUUGGUUUGGAGACAUUAUCCAGGACUGGUAAGCAAGUAAACAUUUACAUAAAGGUCUUUGACUACAAGACUACUGCCACACUGUGGACAUUUUUCAACAAGUCAAGACAAUACAGCACCAAGCGCCAAAUCUGUCAAUCCAGGCCCUUUUUCUGCAUUGCUUUCACCCUAGUAAUGAUUCUCCUAAUUUGGUAGAUAUCACAAUGGUAUUCCUGAUACUAAGAUAUAUAUAUAUAUAUAUAAAAUAUCUUUUGCUCCAGUUCCAUUUUCAUCACUCACCAUAUAUGACACACUUAAAAAGUCCUCAGAGAGGUGUUUGGGACAACAUUGUCACCUUUCACCUUCAUUUACCAAGAAAUAGAAUUGCAUCCCCCUCCAGGUCCAGUGACCUCAUCUUGGGACCACAAAGUGCCAGUACAAAUCCCAUAUGUCCAGAUGUCUCAGAAAACACACAUGGAUAUACAAAAAGCUACUGCAAAGUCUACUGUUCAUGAAAGAAGAUUCGUUCAAUAGUCCGCUGCAUUUUUUUUUGUUUUUUGCUGUUGUUGUUCUUGACCAUCCAGCCAGCAUCGAUUAUUUUUUCCACCAUCACACAGCAACAGUUGUAAUAAUGGACUGCACACAGAGAGGUAAUAAAAAUGACUAUAUAGACUGCACAAACUGGAUCCAUCUUAAAUGCCUGAUAAUAAUGACCAGAAUGGGCAAUACAGACCUUUGACCAAUAUACUGACCUUUUGUUGCUGGCUUGAACACUACAGUCUGAAAUACAAGGAGUGAUGUGAAUCAAACGAGGAUCUGCAAGCGACACACUGGGUCUCGGUGUCGAAAGGAAAUGCUUGAGCUGACACAAUUAAUCCUGAAGCAGAGGAGCAUGAGGAGGUAAAUGUGGCAGAAAAAGAUAAUUGCACCAACAAUGAAACUAAUAUUCAACAUCUGGGGCAGAGACUGAUGUUCUUACUGGACUGUCCUCAGCUUGAAACAUGAAAACUAAAGUUGUACUUCAUGCAACUUUCUAGAGCCUUGCUGUGGAGGGAGUCUGCAGCUCUCUUGCAAUACUGGUUAUUUCCCUUUGGUGUGACAUUUUUCCUCUCAUGCCUAAGUACAAGGCAUGUAGUUUGUACUUAAUUAAUACAGUAUAGCGUUCUUUCAGUCAAGGCCAAACUUUUCAGUGCAGAUUGACUGAGUGAAAAACAGGAUAUGGAAUCAUCCAUAUGGUCACUGUGACUUGGAGAAGUUUGACCUACAUGACUUUAACACUCGCAUCCUGGACCACUUCUCCAUUUGAGACGCGGCUCCCGAUGCGGCUCCCGUUAAUUGCCCUCCUAAUGGUGUUUCUCCGUGAGAUUAAUGUGUCGUUAUGUAUUAUCCACUUUGACAAAUUGAAUAAUUGAUCGGACGGCUCAUUUCGCCGCCCCGAGCUUUGACUGAUGGCUUGUCGGAGCAAAUUCUCGUCUUUUUUUUUCUUUCUUUCUUUCUUUUUGAGACGAGAGGCACCACAGAGAGCACUGCAGGAGGAGGUUGGGUUCCUGCUGACUCGAUGCUCUUCCCAGCUCCCUCUUUCCUCCCCCCCAAAAAAGUUUUGUUACAUGAAUCUGUCAAAAGUAUAUUUUUAAUUUAAUAUAAAUAAAUAAAUGCCAAUA
Molecule: RNA transcript, 6403 nt
Organism: Neoarius graeffei (lesser salmon catfish)
Lineage: Eukaryota; Metazoa; Chordata; Actinopteri; Siluriformes; Ariidae
Gene name: receptor tyrosine-protein kinase erbB-4-like
Exons: 28
Source: RefSeq, a predicted model, not a curated record